This 70-nucleotide transfer RNA is filed under the name Idioscopus sp. 'myrica'. Its description in RNAcentral is "tRNA-Val". The record is from RNAcentral. Lineage: Eukaryota; Metazoa; Arthropoda; Insecta; Hemiptera; Cicadellidae.
CAGAUUGUAGCUUAUUUAAUUAAAGCUUAUUUUUUACAUUAAUAUGAAAAUAUUUAAUUAUUCUGUCUGA